This 403-nucleotide ribosomal RNA is filed under the name uncultured bacterium. RNAcentral's name for it is "partial 16S ribosomal RNA". It matches the Rfam family "Bacterial small subunit ribosomal RNA", at positions 28 to 526 of the family's 1533-position model. The record is from RNAcentral.
GACGAACGCUGGCGGCGUGCCUAAUACAUGCAAGUCGAACGCAGUGGGGACGGGUGAGUAACACGUGGGUAACCUCCCAUCAGAGGGGAUAACACUUGGAAAACGGUGCUACACCGAUAAUGAUGGCUGGACCCGCGGUGCAUUAGCUGGUUGGUUAGUUAACGGCUCACCAAGGCCACGAUGCAUAGCCGACGUGAGAGGGGUUGCGGCCACACGGGGACUUGGACACGGCCCAGAGUCCUACGGGUGGCAGCAGUAGGGAAGCUUCGGCAAUGGACGAAAGUCUGACCGAGCAACGCCGCGUGAGUGAAGAAGGUUUUCGGAUCGUAAAACUCUGUUGUUAGAGAAGCGGUAUCUAACCAGAAAGCCACGGCUAACUACGUGCCAGCAGCCGCGGUAAUUC